This 81-nucleotide small RNA is filed under the name Oryza sativa Japonica Group (Japanese rice). RNAcentral describes it as "sRNA Os12g0593650". Lineage: Eukaryota; Viridiplantae; Streptophyta; Magnoliopsida; Poales; Poaceae. The record is from RNAcentral.
GUUGUGCUUGUGUAUCUCCUGAUUGAAAUGAGGCCACUAAAGAUAAAUUGGGAGGAAGUUGGCGGGGGCAAUCUGAAGGGG